GGGUCAGUAGGUUGGUCGUGCCACCGGUACGUACUGGUCUCACUGAUUCCUCCUUCCUGAAGAACCGUAAUGCCAUUAAUUUGGUGUUGCGGGGAAACAGGACUGUUACUUUGAAAAAAUUAGAGUGUUUAAAGCAAGCUAACGCUUGAAUACAUUAGCAUGGAAUAAUGAAAUAGGACGAUCGAUCCUAUUUUGCUGGUCUCUAGGAUUGACGUA
RNAcentral lists this ribosomal RNA (216 nucleotides) under Glomeromycotina sp. RNAcentral describes it as "partial small subunit ribosomal RNA". The stretch from base 44 to 216 matches the Rfam family "Eukaryotic small subunit ribosomal RNA", at positions 690 to 864 of the family's 1831-position model. The record is from RNAcentral. Lineage: Eukaryota; Fungi; Glomeromycota.